AGUGAACGCUGGCGGUAGGCCUAACACAUGCAAGUCGAACGGCAGCACAGUAAGAGCUUGCUCUUACGGGUGGCGAGUGGCGGACGGGUGAGGAAUACAUCGGAAUCUACUUUUUCGUGGGGGAUAACGUAGGGAAACUUACGCUAAUACCGCAUACGACCUACGGGUGAAAGCAGGGGAUCUUCGGACCUUGCGCGAUUGAAUGAGCCGAUGUCGGAUUAGCUAGUUGGCGGGGUAAAGUCCCACCAAGGCGACGAUCCGUAGCUGGUCUGAGAGGAUGAUCAGCCACACUGGAACUGAGACACGGUCCAGACUCCUACGGGAGGCAGCAGUGGGGAAUAUUGGACAAUGGGCGCAAGCCUGAUCCAGCCAUACCGCGUGGGUGAAGAAGGCCUUCGGGUUGUAAAGCCCUUUUGUUGGGAAAGAAAAGCAGCAGGUUAAUACCCCGCUGUUCUGACGGUACCCAAAGAAUAAGCACCGGCUAACUUCGUG
Molecule: ribosomal RNA, 492 nt
Filed under: uncultured bacterium
Lineage: Bacteria
Description: partial 16S ribosomal RNA
Rfam family: Bacterial small subunit ribosomal RNA
Source: RNAcentral